GCAAGUUCCGCCUCCCGGGUUCACGCCUUUCUCCUACCUCAGCCUCCCUAGUAGCUGGGACUACAGGUGCCUGCCACCACACCUGGGUAAUUUUUUGUAUUUUUAGUAGAGACUGGGUUUCACCGUGUUAGCCAGGAUGGUCUUGAUUUCCUGACCUCAUGAUCGGCUGCCCGCCUCGGCCUCCCAAAGUGCUGGAAUGGUUUUAUCACUGCAGUCAAACAAGUACUAUGUUUCACAGAACAAUUUAGAGGACAUCACAGUUACCAAAGCAUCAAGACAGACACAAGCAUCACUGUGAAGCUAAGUUUACAGGUGUCUAAAUCAGAAGGAGCCAUACCUGAAGAACUAUAUUCAGAUCUGAUGUAGACCAUGAUAUGCAGGUUCACUGAGACUUUUGUCAUAACUGGACAUGACUUCAGGGAAUUCUGAGAUGGAGCCGAGCACAUUCAGCUGUUGGAGAUUCAUGAGUUGUUGUGGUUAGAGAUUGGAUUUGAUAGCAUGGUUUUAAAUCAGUUUCAGUUUUCCCCACCUUCUAUAUCCACACUUGCAUUGUGUCUUUGAAUCUCUUCCCAUCAAAAAAUGUAACCUAUAAUGUAAAUCUGAGAGGGCCAGUUGAUUGCAACAGAAGUGAUGAUACUCCCAUAAGCUUGUGAGAACAAAGUCCUCAGACAAAGUGUCAGAGCUGCUAUUAGGAAAGAAACCAUCAGCACAUACUAAAAAGGCUAGUAAGGAAAGGUAAGUGCAGGGUAUUGAAAGUAGCUGCAAUAUUUUCAAUAUAUUAUACUUCAUCUUUGGUUGACCUUUUUUUUUUUAAUCGGGACAUUCUUAAGUCAAUUUUCAGACUAAUUUCCUCAUUUCAUAAAACAUAUUUAAACAUUGAACUCAAAUGCAAGAAAUUGUCUUAAUUCUAUUGACAUGUUGAUUGCUCUAAGUUGUGACAUACAGUCUUCAAAACUCUGCUUGUCACUGUCACUCUUUUUUUCAAUAUUAUGGCAUAAUAUGUCUGCUUGUACCUUCUUUAAGACCAACACAUUGCUGAAAUAUUCAUUGUGAUAAUCAAUCUUCAACAGAUUCCCAGAUGUUUCUAGCAUAUGCAAUAUUAAAAAAGAGAUGCUAGCCAUGAAAAGAUACAAAUUAAAUUAUUUUUGUAAUAUCACCUAAUAAAACUCUUUUCUAACAACUGGUUUUAAUUUAGGAAACUCACUCCUUGCAUAAUCUCUGAAGUUAAAUUCCAGAGCAAAGAAAUUUAGAGAAGUAGGCAAAGGCAAUGUAAUCUUUCUAUUAAUAUGUUCAGCUAAAGUCACUGACUGUGUAAGAGAUGAACAAAAAUCAUUUUCUCCUAAAAGAGCUAAUUUUCCUUGUGUAAAUUUGUU
Molecule: long non-coding RNA, 1373 nt
Filed under: Homo sapiens (human)
Lineage: Eukaryota; Metazoa; Chordata; Mammalia; Primates; Hominidae
Description: HSALNT0180215
Source: RNAcentral